This 380-nucleotide ribosomal RNA is filed under the name uncultured bacterium. RNAcentral's name for it is "bacterial SSU rRNA". It matches the Rfam family "Bacterial small subunit ribosomal RNA", at positions 425 to 793 of the family's 1533-position model. The record is from RNAcentral.
GUAAAGCACUUUCAGUAGGGAGGAAGGUAGUGUAGUUAACACCUGCAUUAUUUGACGUUACCUACAGAAGAAGCACCGGCUAACUCCGUGCCAGCAGCCGCGGUAAUACGGAGGGUGCGAGCGUUAAUCGGAAUUACUGGGCGUAAAGCGCAUGCAGGCGGCCUGUUAAGUCAGAUGUGAAAGACCCGGGGCGUUAACCUCGGAAUUGCAUUUGAAACUGGCAGGCUAGAGUCUUGUAGAGGGGGGUAGGAAGUUUCAGGUGUAGCGGUGAAAUGCGUAGAGAUCUGAAGGAAUACCAGUGGCGAAGGCGGCCCCCUGGACAAAGACUGACGCUCAGAUGCGAAAGCGUGGGGAGCAAACAGGAUUAGAUACCCUGGUAG